ACUGUGCACGGUGUCCGCUAUAUCAAGCACUAAUGUGUACAGCAGGCCUGACGGCCGGGGUUGUCAAAAUUCUCGCCCAGCGCCCUGCAUGCAUCCAGGCCUGAUCAAGGCUACUGUUGUGUGUGCACGUAUGGGCCUGUGCGCAUGAUUGUUCGUACGCGACAUCGACAGUGCAGUCGGCUAUCAUCAUGACCUGACCAAGGCUACAUGUUCACUGAUCAGCUGAUAGCGGAUUGUGUUUGUACAUGUAAGACAUGCACAGAAACCACUCAACUGACCCACUCACUUGGACACUUUACAACACAGGCCAACUGACCUGUUCGAGAAGGACAUGACAGUGGGUGCAGUACGUAGUACUUAUGCAGUUUUGGUACAACAGAGUUUGUACAAAACAAUUGGUUGGGCGCCUUGGACGGUGGCAAGACCGUAAUCUCAAAUAACCACGUUUAUAGAAUUCUUGAUAUCACUGAUACUAUCAGGUAACUAUUUUGUGAAAGAGCUGCCAAGUGUUCGUCAUGAGUUUGUCAGCUAACCUACAACGCGAAUGGGUUCCAAACCAAACCCUUCCAACGGCUGGCCUCAUCGUUGGAGACUUUGUAGUGAUGACCUACAACCUACUGAACAAGGACCUUGGGCCGGACGGGCUGUUCUCGUACUGCCCAGACGAGUUGUUGAGCACUGCCCGCAGACACCCGGUGCUCAUGGGCGAGAUUGACCACCACAAAGACGCAGAUAUCAUCUGCUUUCAAGAGGUCAGUAGUUUGUACUACGACGAAACCUUGGUGCCUGAUAUGCAUGAGAGAGGCUACACUGGUGCUUUCAUCAAGCGGCCCAGUGCUCGGUCGGCUGACGACAAGCGACCGUGGACUGAUGGGAGUGCCACCUUCUUUCGAAGUGCGCGGUUUCAACUGGUCAAACAGGAGGGAGGUCAUUUCAAGGACCUGUUUGAAAAGGAACAGGAGAAACUUCAAAGCCCCACCAAUACCACUUCAUGUGACCCUGACUUGAUUGACAGCAAGAGGUCCUUCCUCUUCGUGCUGUUCCGCUGUCUGGAGACGGAUAGGCUGGUGGCGGUGGGAAACGUUCACCUGACGUGCGUCUAUGGCAGUUACAACCGAAUGGAUUUGAAUUCUUUAGAGGCUGCAUUUGCUUUAAGAGAGCUGGUGCGUUUCUGCGGAGGAGCAGAUGCCCCCCACAUCUUGUGCGGGGAUUUCAACUUUGAGGAGCACCACCCUGGAUACCAACUGAUGCGAGACGGGUUGCUGAGCGAAGCCUCAGCAACGUAUCUCCGCAACCUGAGACUCCCUGGUGAAAAGGAUGGCAGCAAAAACGUCAUGUCCCUGCUAGACGUUUUUCCAGACUUUUUCACACACGACUCGGUGAGUCUCAAAAGUUCCUACAAAACUGUUAUGGGACACGAGCCACCCUUCACAUGUUACGAAGACAGCUCUCCGGAAUGUGCAACUCCAGUUGGACCACUGCCGACCAAAGCUUUGCAAGCGCUGUUUGAUGUGGCGCUCAAUUACACUAAGCAGGGUCGCGGAGCAGACAAAUAUGUAGCCGCUGUGGACUACAUCUGGUUCAGCUCCAGCUCACUCCACUGCAGUGGUGCUCUCAGGAUGCCGGAAGAGAGGCUGAUCCUGCCGUUCCACGCUUGUCCCAACGCAGUCUUCCCAUCGGACCACCUGCUCAUGAAAGCCCAGUUUUCCUUCCUGAAAGCCUAAAGCUGAAAUUUUUGGUGUUCUUUGUAAAGGAAGCAAAGUUUUUUUACAUCUUUAGUUUAUUAUUAUUGUACAUUAUGGUACCUGUAAGAGAACUCCUUCGCACAAGUUAACAGGAAGGGCUUAGUUCUUUUUUACUAUUUCUGUGAAAUUUUCCCAGAUUCCUAUUGUAACGCAAUGCAUAGCCCACUGGUGCGCUUUCAAGCGUUUGUUGCUUAGCAACGUUGUGCGCGCUGGCGUGUAUAUAAGCGACCGCGUGCAAAGAGUCGCUCUCUUCCCGCUGCGACAGUCACUGUGUUGAGUUGGAAAGCAACUUCCUGCUGCAGCUGCCACCAAUUGCAGUGAGGGGUUCUGAUCGGAGAUAAAGUGUACUUUUUAAUCGUCCAGUCAAUUACAUUUAUUUAAGUAGUCGCAGUAGGGGAGCCUCACACUUUGUGUGAGCUUGAUUUGUGAUUGUUAAUAAAUCCUGGCACCUAUAAUUUUGUGAUCAGUGAAUAGUCCCGCACGUAGGUGAAGCACUGUGCGCCUAUAGGAGAAUAAAGCAUCAAAGCAAAGGGUAGGCACAAACUGGCGUCCGCCCCCCCCAUUUCUUCCCCGGUGGUCCCCCGUCUGUUAGCCCCGUGUGGUGCGAGGGUGUGUGAGUGUGUUUUGGCAGUGGUGAGCCACGGGCCUGGCGGUAGACUUCCGCCAAAACGGAUCUGCGUCUCGGGCCGUGGAGGUUAGGCCGCUCACCGCUAUCGGUCGAGACCGACCCGGGCAGUCGUCAGAGAUCGAAGCAGAAGGCGUCACGAGAAAUGGGGGAAAGACCGGGAGGAGAGAAGUCCAUCCCAUAGCCGUUCCGACGGGGAAAUGACAGAAUGCCCACUUUGAGGCAUGCUGCUGCAUAGGAGGAGUCUGGAGAGACAGUAGGUGAACAUUGGCCUUGGCGAGUCUUCCGCUGUCGAAGGUGUUCCCACAGGAACAAUUUGAGAGCGCAUGUUGGCGAGGUUUCAUACAUUCAGGGCGAAACGCUGGAGUCCCGUGGGAGAGACAGGCGCCUAAGUGAAGGUGAGCUAAGGCGCACAGAGAUGCCGAGGAGCAAGGGCGAGAGAAGCGUGAAGGUGACAAGAAGGUGAAGGUGAGAGGAGUGGGACCGCCGAUGUCUCACGGGGAGCUGGAGAGUAGCAUGAUUGGCAACAUCUUCCGGAUAACGGAAACAGAGACACGCAGCAUUUACCAAGACGGGAUGCUGGUGACGAAGGGCCACACUGAGCGGGUCUUUCAAGUCAAGUUCGCGACAGGAGGUUGCUGAACUUUAGGCGAAUAGGAGACAUACUGCGCCUAUAACAAGAAGUCAUGUUUAUUCAGAUGUUGUAUAAGUGUUUAAUAAAUUUUUGUAUCUGAAAAUUUAUCUAAGAAGUUUAAGAUUUCUGUGAGGGACAGUAAUCGCCUUUACUGUUUCGGAUGAGCCUGAGCCUAAAGAGAUAUGGCUUGUUCUUUUAUUGUUAACAUUUAAAGUUUUGCUUAAUGUUUCAAGUGUUCACGCUUUUAAUGUUAAACUUUCAAUGUCGCCUACAUGUCCUAAAUUUUAGUUUUAAGGGUGCCAAAGCUUGACACUGUAAGGACCAUCAGGUUUUUGGAGGUGUGUUUAUUUGGUUGAAAUUUAAAUCAGAGAUCAUGCAUUGCUUUUAUUUUAAGUGUCAAUUUUUAGGUCAGGGACUGACCAAACUUGGAAGGCGCCAAUGUAACGCAAUGCAUAGCCCACUGGUGCGCUAUCAGGCGCUUGUUGCUCAGCAACGUUGUGCGCGCUGUGUUCAUAAGCGGCUGCGCGCUAAGAGUCGCUCUUGUUCCUGCUGCGACCAUCGCCACGCACAGUCAAAAAGCUCUGCCUGCUGCGACUGUCCCCACAUACAGUUGGAAAGCUGUGCCUUCUGCAAACAUCACCUGCAAGUGCAGUUUGGUUCAGAUUUAUAGUGUAAGCUGCAAUCAUCCAAUCAUUAACAUCCAAUCGAGGAGUCGCAGUAGGGGAGCCUCAUACUCUGUGUGAGCUUGAUUUAGUUUGUGAUUGAUAAUAAAUCGUGGCACCUGUAAUUUUGUGAUUAAUUUCUAGUACUACACGUAGGUGAGGUACUGUGCACCUAUAUAGGAGAAUAAAGUCCUGGAACAAAGAGUAGGCACAAACUCGCAUCCAGUUCCCCCAUUCUUUCUCCUUUGGUCCCCCGUCUGUCAGCCCCGUGUGGUGUGAGGGUGUGUGAGAGUGAUCUGUCUGUGGCGAGUUACGGGCCUGGCGGUAGACCUCCGUCAAAACGGAUCUGCGUCUCGGGCCGUAGAGGUCAGGCCGCCGCUCACCGCUAUUGGUCGAGACCGACCCGGAAAGUCCUCAGAGGCUUUACCGCUACAAUACCUUUAUGUAUUUUAUGUCUUGACUCCUUACUUUCAAUCGUCUGAUUGUGUUAAGAAUUGAAGCUGACACAUACAGCCUCGUUUUCAAACCCUGAAGUGCGCAGAUCGGCGCUAAAAGCGUAUUGGGAUCCCUCUAUUGCAACAGUUAUGCUGUAUGUGCUCCAAACAAAGCAUGUCCGAGGUCAUUCGGGAACAGCAGUACGUGCACGAAAUGUCUGCCCUACGGGUUGCAAACCUCACAAAUUAUUUUUAAUUUAAUGUUUUCAAAACUGCGCAACCAUGUGUUACUGCCACUUCAAACCCUAAAAGACACAUGAAAACUGUGUCAUAACUUGUAUUUAAAAAAAGAAAUAUUUGAAUACGUCUUGGUAAAAUGAAAGUCACUUGAAAUGCAUACAGUUUUCAUUAAUAUUCUCGGAUUAUUGUAUUAAAGACUAAA
RNAcentral lists this unclassified non-coding RNA (4542 nucleotides) under Acanthaster planci (crown-of-thorns starfish). Its description in RNAcentral is "carbon catabolite repressor protein 4 homolog 1-like, transcript variant X2". The record is from RNAcentral. Lineage: Eukaryota; Metazoa; Echinodermata; Asteroidea; Valvatida; Acanthasteridae.